This 219-nucleotide long non-coding RNA is filed under the name Mytilus galloprovincialis (Mediterranean mussel). The record is from RNAcentral. Lineage: Eukaryota; Metazoa; Mollusca; Bivalvia; Mytilida; Mytilidae.
GAGCCUCCAUUACCAAAAUUCCAAAAAGUUGUGCAAUAAUAUCUUAGACAUCCUUCGAUGACCAUGCACCUAACAUGUAAAGACAGAGGAUCUAAUACUACACCAGAUCCAAUCAUCUAAAGAAGAAGUUUCACUGGGGUAGUAUUAUCUUUGCUUGUCACGAAAGACGUGUCUGUUAUAUUCACAGUGUUAUAUAUAUAUUUAGAUAAAAUAAGAAUG